ACUGGGUAUGGUGGUGCACACCUGUAAUCCUGGCAGCUUGGAAGGCUGAGGCAGGAGGAUCACAAGUUCAAGGCCAGCCUCAGCAACUUGUGGAGGCCCUAAGCAACUUAGCCAGACCCUGUCUCAA
This 127-nucleotide small RNA is filed under the name Marmota monax (woodchuck). Lineage: Eukaryota; Metazoa; Chordata; Mammalia; Rodentia; Sciuridae. The record is from RNAcentral.